Long non-coding RNA from Carassius gibelio (silver crucian carp), 812 nucleotides. RefSeq lists it as uncharacterized. NCBI's taxonomy places the organism in Eukaryota, Metazoa, Chordata, Actinopteri, Cypriniformes, Cyprinidae. The record is from RefSeq and is a predicted model, not a curated record. The transcript is spliced from 3 exons.
AAAAAUAAUCUAAAGGAGAAAAGCAAGGCGUCUCGUGCGUGACCGCGCGUAAUCACAGAAGCGCGAGGACGCGCGGAGACGCACCACACGGAUGAGUUCACGGAGUUUACCGUGGGAUUCGGCUUUCUCUUUGUCCCACAGCACAAGAACCCUUCGUCAGGACGUCCUGAAGUCUCCUGGAACUGGUUUCGAGACUGUGGACGGAUCUCAAACACUCAAAUGAUCUCCUGGUGUGUGUUUAAGGUCACGUCCCAUGCCAGAUCUGGAUGAAGAGUGGCCCGAACAGAAGGACACGGCUUCACAAGGCUGUCAGAGACGCACGCGUCAGCUGUGAGAAACAGCACAUGGAGAGAUUUUGUGGGCUUGAUGAACAUCUUCACCGGCAUUUCCUGUUGCAACACACACACUGUGUGUGUGAAUCUGGCGAGGAUUACUUCGUGCUUUCUAGCCUCGUGCUGAGUACUUACCCUUGCUAACGGCAGGCCAGCCCCACGAUAUCAAAGAAUACAGGUUUGACUCCAAUGUGCAGCUAAAUAUUUGUGCUUGCUAGCAUAUUAUUCCAUUUUUAAUAAUCAGUUAAAGUCUGAGGCAUCCGAUGAAGGAUCCAUUGGAGAAACGAAUUACUAAAAAAAACUAACUAAACUAACAAAUAUAGCUUCCUUUUUUUUUUUUUUUUUAAGUUGCAUUGCAUUAAAUUAAAAUGAAUACAAAUGCAUUUAUUUUUAAAAAUCUGUUCAUUUAAAGGCGACAAUGGCAUUAUUUUAGUGUUGUAUUUUAAUACAAUUGUUAUGCAUUUUAAAGUUGGUUUUAAU